CAGUAACCUUCCCCUGUAGCUCGCCUCAUCCUCCACACCUGCCUGAUCUCUGGGAGAGUUAUUUUUUCCAUGGUUUCCCAGGUGCAGAUGGAAGGUAGCUGUGCCACGCAGCACCAGGCAAUGUCAAGACUCUGGGUUUACAAGACCUAUGUGGUGGGAUAGAGGAAGAUCACUGCUGGAGACACUCACAGAUCUUCUGGAGCAGCAGGAUGUUCUACAAAAAUGUUCCAGUGUAGCCAGCCUUCACAGACAUCCUCACGCUGAAAGAUGCUAGCAGUGCCACAGCUAUGUUCAAAUGGUACACACAAUCAAACCCAGAUCACUAUCUUUAUCCUGGAGAGGACUGGAAGCAAAUUUCUCACAGUUGUCAGACACCCACAUACUUCGUGCUGCACGUGACUGUUGGCCAUCCCAGAGUCACAAACUGCCAAGGACCAGCACUACUCCCUUUCUAGGAGCCAGCCACCACUAAGCAUGCACACUAGCAUGGUGUGGCAUUGUCUUAUGUAAAUUUGCCAUUCAAGAGUAUGCCAAGUCAUCAGAGAUGAUUGUGCCACAUACAGAAUGCUGGAGAUAGCAAACCAGGAUUUGUCAAAUAUCAGGAGAACAUGUUAGAUAUCUAACUGGAGUAGCAAAGAUGAAUAAAAGGAUGGAGGUGAGCAGAGAGGCAAACAACUCAAGGUCACAUGGCAUGUUAUUAGCACAGCUAAUAACAUCCCAAUUAGUAUCCUAAUUAAGCAGGUCAUUUUCCUAUCACAUAAUCCACAGACUCUCUCCUGCUUUAUGUUCAGAGAGCUUACAUCUGCUUUGGAUAUGUUUUUCCUGGAAAACAUCAUCUCUGCUUACCUCAAACGACGUCACACCAUAGGGUUUGCAUUUGCUGUGGCCACUUAGCAUAUUGACUCUGGUGUUAAAACUGGCAAAGGGGCAAAUGAUAUUCACUUUGUCAAGGCUGACUGAUGGAAAAAGGAGCAAAGCCAACAGCAAAUGCCAUCUCUGAUAGGAGACUGACGCAAAAGAGGCUGGGGAACCAUAUAGGACUUCUGCCCUGUUUAUGUAACCUGGAAUAUUUUUUGUAAAUGCUCAAACUGACGUGCAUUGAGUUUUGGCAUGUGUUUGUCAGUGCCCUUGUUUUAUAGCCUUGCUGAAGACUCAUUGACAGAUGGCACUCAAGAGAAUGCUUUUUAUAGGUGCCAGUGUCCAACUCAGAUACAGUUUCUGAAAGCAAAAGGUGUUUGGGGGUGGAGGGAUUUGAAGUACUGCCAAAGCAUUUUGUAGAAGGUGCUUUAGUGGUGCUGCAAAAACGGAAGGUAUGUGGGAGAUGAUUGAGGAACAUCGACUCUCAUGGAUGUUGAGUCACCAUGUUCUAUUAGAAAGCACACAGCAUUUAUGACAUAGAAGAAUACGAAAAAAAGAUUAUGAAGGACAUAAUCUGUAUCCCAGAGCGGUGUCUAUCUGACCUUAUGUGCUGGGAAUGAUUUCUUGUUAUAGCUUGACCUAGUUCUUUCCUGGAGACUACAUGAAUUACAAGUGAAUGCAGACAUUGGCUGCCUAUUACUUCACAGCACCUUUCUUCUCGGUGCCAAGGAGCAGUGAAGCUCCCUGAAGGGGCUGGGGCUGACAGUGACUCCAGUGCCCUCACUGAUGCAUGCUGUCCCAUGGAGGCUAAGCAUACUGGGCAGAACUGGGUGCUGGCAACAGGCUCUAGCAGCAACUCAGGGUAUGAUAACCCAGGUCCAGAGUUGAUGCAGGUGUUCAUCCAAUAGGAAAAGGAGACGGAGCCAGAGGCAGGACUGGAGAUGAAGCUGCAUUGUGGAUGUUUGCUGAGAGACUUAAAUGGGAACAACUGCUAGACCACAUUGUGUUAACCUGCCAAUGAUGCCUACAUACAUUGCCUUCCUAUAGAAAAUAGGGUUUAUGGGGAAAAGAGAUUAAAAAAAUCUUGUACAUUAAUUUUCUUUGCAAACUGAAAGCCAGAAAGUGGCAAAAACAUCCUCUGUGCCUUGAUAUGCCACAGAUCAAGACAAGACAUGCCAGGAAUAGAAAGACUUAAAGGACAAAAGACUUUACAUGAAGCAAAGUAAAAAUUGGGACAUUGUGAAGCAUGUCCUGGUGUUGUUUCAGAAUUAAAUUGUGAAGUGCUAUCGACAUGGACUGGUGGAGGGCACCAGAGAAGCCUGUUGUGUAGUGUCCAUGGAGUAAGAAUCUUACUCUUCCUGGCAAGGCAGGCAACAACUGACUAAAACCCACAGCAAUCCGCAUUAUCUAGUUCCUGAUUGGAAAUACUGGAUAUUGUUAUUCAUAACUACUCUUUGUAAAGCACAUUAUGAUAAUUGUCAGGUGCUAUGAUACUUCUUCUUAUUAGGUAAAUCUUGUAUAUGUGGAUGAGGUAUUAUUUUUCCAUGGGUAUGUUUAUAUGAAUUGCAGCCACUGCUUCUACCUAGAGAAUUAUGUCAAUGUAAUGCAUGGUUAUGUAAGUUUUGUUUAGGUCCUCAUAUGCAAUGUGUUACACGGCCUGGAAGACUUCCAGGAGUGAAGUGAUGGGAUUGUUAUCUGCUGCAUGUGAUUUUCUCUCUCCCCUUCUUUCCAAAGGUGAAUUUUGUGCUCUUUUUGUUUUCAGUGUCCUUUAAAAUAAUUAUUACAUUUUCUGUACAGUGUUCUGUCUAUAUCUAUGUGACUCAUAGUCAGAGUAGAAGAUGCUGAGCUUUGUGCUUGGGACAAUUCCACUGGGAUCUCAUCCAAGUCUUUAAGCUGGCCUACCGAGAAAGCUCUUUUUUCUGCACAGCUUUUCUUGGGAUAUGGAUAAUCCAUUGUGCCUGAGCAAUGAAACUGCUGUCUAUUCUUCCUUGCUCUGCCUCUCUCUGUAGGUGACCGUUCAUAUAGGUGUCUGGGGUCCCAAACUUCUGAGUGCCUUGGGAAUAAGGACGCAACACUGAAAUUAAAACUGAAGAUUAAGCACAGGUCUUAGACCUGCACCUAGGCAGGUGAAGAUGUGUAGUGCACAUCUAUAGUGCUCCUUCUCUGUUCUACAGGGUCACUGAGGAGAAUAGAAGACCCAGGUUACAGUGCUCCCAGGAGGGUAGGAGUGCUGCUGUGGGACGUGUUCCUGCUAUCCUUCAUCGUUUUCAGCUUUUCGAGUUCGGAGUCUAGCACUGGUUCUUCAGAUCCAGGUUUUAAAGCAGAAUCACCCUCUAUGCAUUAUACAAUUCACUUGGAGAAGAGGGGAAAAAAUGGGAGGUAUAAACCUUGGAGGUAUAACAAUACAGAAGUGCAGUUCUCUAGUAAAUAUUUCAGAAUUCCAAGAGAGUCUGGAACAUGGGAAUAAGACUCAUGGACACCAGAUUUGUAUAUGGAGUGGAUGCCCAAGAAGUCUGAUUCAAAGAGAACCUUAAAUAUCAUGGAUUAAUGGACAAGGGUCAACAUAAGAUUUGGACCUUUGCUGCCAGAAGGCUGCAUGCAUGGUGCUACCAUCACAUCCACUGAAUGUGCUGGAGCUUUCCUAUGAAGGUUUUAAUUUCCUGCCACUGAUUUUGUUUUUAAAUUUUUUGAGACAUUAGAAGAUCUUUAGCCACUACUGUGUAUCAGCAACUGAAAGGAUUUGAAUGUAACUAUUUGCUCCAAAAAACCUACGUAGCUCUUUUCACUCCUUUUGGCAAGUAUCCAUGAACACAUUCAAGUUACAGAGAGCCCUGGAGCAGUUCUUGCUGCAGUAUUUGACCAAUGCAUUGUAUGGACUGCUCUCCAUUUGUAAGUUGAGAGCUUUUCUGUGCAGGCAGCCCAAGCACUGGAAGGUCAACAGUCUGAUGCUGCCUUAAAAACCAUGAGAUUGAUAAGUUAGAGGACAGCAUUUUAAAGUUGAAUUUCAUAAGGUGUUUUCUGAUCUGCUAUGCUUAUCGUUAUCAACUGGUAUUUUCCUCUUUUGUUCUUCUCUCCUUCCCCUCCCAUUUCCUUGUAUCUGUUGUCGACCAACUUUGACUAUAAUGGUAAAAUUGCUUUUUGCAGAAUUUUGUUGGAACAGAAUGUUGGCUCUUGGAGUAUUACUGAUACAGCUCAUAGUGAAGAGAUUAAAUAUUGAAUUCAGUGAGGCAAUUCCAAGCAGGUUUUUACAUUAUUUGAGUAGAACCAAAGCCUGCUUACUCGGCUCCCCUGGAACAAAAGAAAUUUCAGUAUUUUCUGGGACUGUCAAGGAUUGUUAUAUCAAAGUCAAUGUCGAAGUCUAUGGUACUCGCUCUGUCUUUGGAAAUCUUUAGAUCUGAUAUAAAUAAACACCUCACAAAAAUAUAUGUUGCAUAUUUGGCAGUGAAGAGAUGCUGCAGUUCGGUGACAGAGCCACUCUUUGAAAAGAGACUCACCACGUGUUCCCAAGAGACACAUCUCAUUAAAAUAAAAUGCAAGGAAAACACGAACAUAUCGAGAAUAGUGGUCAGUCUAUUUCAAAGGCAACGAGCUAUGCCAAGAAAAACAUUGUAGUCGUGCUUCCAGCUUAAAACAACAUCUGAGAAGCAUACUGGAAAGCUUUUUACUUCAGUUUCAGUUGAGUGCCAGUGUAAGUUUUCAGGCUUAAGUACUUAUCUGAGCACAUUAUGGAAAAUACAGAAUUAGGAAGAAGCUGUCCUAAUACUGGACCACUUUUGUUAUCUACUUUAGUUGAAAAAUAGGUUGCUCUUCAAGAGAGAGCAGGAAGAAGGACCUAGAAAAGAGCUUUAAAAAAGAAUUAUUUUUAUUUUUUAAAAAGAGGGAAUCUAAAUUGGAGAACCAAGUCAAUCACAUUUAUAUGCAAUAAUGAAUAAUGUAUAAUCCUUUCGGAAGUGAUUGAAAACCUAAAAAAGAAAUUCAUUUUCCUUACAGUAGUAGUACAGUAGUAGCUAAAUGGAAAACUGGUGGUGAAAACCCUUGUUUUAGGCAUAACAGUCUUAUCUGCAGAGUCUUUUUAAUGACAUUACACAGCAGUUUCUACUGGCUACAUACUGUAUGAAAUCUGUUCUGCUAAAUAUUGCUUCUUUGAGAAAUUAUUAGCAGAAUAAAUAUAGCACAGAAUUGAUUUUAAAAAGUCAAAAUAAAUGUUCUUUUAGUACACAUUUCUAUGGACAAUUGGGGAAAACAGUACGAACUGGAAAGAAAUGAACAAGAAGAGUUAAAAGGAUGGUAGUGUCUGGCUUAGGUGACUUCUAGCAAAAGGUGACAUCCAAAAUGCCCUACACCAGGCAACUGAGAACACCUGAGGUAAGAGAAUCCUUAUCAGCUGGCAAAGGGGCCUCUUCCUUCUCUGGAUCUUCUGGAUAUCUGGAUAUUUCUGGAUAGGAGGCUUGCUUUAAUGGGAAGUGGCUAAAUUUGGGUGAUGCUAAUUAUCCUUCAUGUGCAAAUUUUUAAACUAAUAAAUUACCUCAAGUCUUGUAUGAAAUAUCACGGAGACACUUGAUUUCUGUUGGUUUCAUUUCCCAAGAAUAUUUUUAUUUCUUUCACUCUCGUAAAACAGGCUUACCUCGUUUCCAAAUCUCAUUCCUUGCACAGCUACCUUAUAAUCACCAAAGCAUUACUUCAAGGUUCGGCCUUAUCACAGGAGAAUCAGAGAUGAUAUACAGUGAGAAAUAGCGCUUACUAAAUUUAAACAUCAAGGCAAAUUGUUAUCUACAUGCAAGACAGCUUUAUUUUUAUGAUCAUUUAUUCAUUGCUCGUCUAGUGUACCGGGAGCUGUGCAGCACAUAUUGCUAGGUAUACUCUCUGCCCUUUGAAUAUUGAUGUUUUGGAAUUCUCCUGAGAAUGAAAGGUGGAUUGAUCUACUCUUGAAGCUUGACAAGUGAUAUUCUUAUUUAUCUUUUUAGAAUGAGGAAACAAAAUGCAAUCACCAUUCUUUCUGAGCAUUUGGAAAAAUGUAUAUAGCAGAUGUGAACAGUUGCAAUUUUCAUCCUCUUUUAAACACACUGGAUAGGCAUACUUACAGAUUUUAUGAUCUAAUUGCCUUCUUCAUAUAUAAUAUAAUAAUGUAUUUCACCGCCACAGAUGGGGAUAAAUGCUGCUGGAAAACAGCUAUGAAAGGUAAAAUAUACAGUAUUCUUCGACGUGUCGCAUUUAUCUGUUUAAUAAACCUGGUUCAUGGUUUUAAAGAACUAUAGCCAGCCACGAAUAGCAUAAUUUGUCAGCCCAAAAGGGUCUGGUUGCAGAGCAAUUAGGAUGCCUAGCCUCAGAGAACAGUGAGCACUAGUUCUGCUUCAUAUAUGUGCUGACAGAGGUUCCCAAGGGAUCCUGCUGUAAG
This is a long non-coding RNA of Tympanuchus pallidicinctus (lesser prairie-chicken), 6253 nucleotides long. RefSeq lists it as uncharacterized. The transcript is spliced from 5 exons. The record is from RefSeq and is a predicted model, not a curated record. Lineage: Eukaryota; Metazoa; Chordata; Aves; Galliformes; Phasianidae.